RNAcentral lists this long non-coding RNA (286 nucleotides) under Elaeis guineensis (African oil palm). RNAcentral describes it as "long non-coding RNA (EGUI_LNC014135)". Lineage: Eukaryota; Viridiplantae; Streptophyta; Magnoliopsida; Arecales; Arecaceae. The record is from RNAcentral.
GGAGUGAACUUUCUUAUAGGAUGAAAUUUGAGGAAAUCAAGGAACCACUUGAGUACCUAUAAAUAUAUAGGAGUUGGUGGCUUUUCAAGGUAGCCUUUGGAUUUUAUUGAACAACAACUAAUUCAACAACAACCACCUCAUGAGGAGCCACCCCAUGUAAGAAUUGAUAAUAUGGAAACCAUUGUUCAAGAUACACAUGAAAGUGGAAGUAAGGAUAUCUUCAAGAAUUAAAAGGUUAGCAGUUUGUAGUGAUUAUAUUAUACAUCUUCAAGAGUCUGAUUAUGAU